GUCCAGACUCCUACGGGAGGCAGCAGUGGGGAAUAUUGCACAAUGGGGGAAACCCUGAUGCAGCGACGCCGCGUGAGUGAAGAAGUAUUUCGGUAUGUAAAGCUCUAUCAGCAGGGAAGAAAAUGACGGUACCUGACUAAGAAGCCCCGGCUAACUACGUGCCAGCAGCCGCGGUAAUACGUAGGGGGCAAGCGUUAUCCGGAUUUACUGGGUGUAAAGGGAGCGUAGACGGCAUGGCAAGUCAGAUGUGAAAGGCCGGGGCUCAACCCCGGGACUGCAUUUGAAACUGUCAGGCUGGAGUGCAGGAGAGGUAAGUGGAAUUCCUAGUGUAGCGGUGAAAUGCGUAGAUAUUAGGAGGAACACCAGUGGCGAAGGCGGCUUACUGGACUGUAACUGACGUUGAGGCUCGAAAGCGUGGGGAGCAAACAGGAUUAGAUACCCGCGUAC
This 447-nucleotide ribosomal RNA is filed under the name uncultured bacterium. RNAcentral describes it as "bacterial SSU rRNA". It matches the Rfam family "Bacterial small subunit ribosomal RNA", at positions 329 to 793 of the family's 1533-position model. The record is from RNAcentral.